AAAUUUCACUAGAUCUAGUGAUUUUUUAAGAAUCUAGUGAAAUAGUGAUAACUUUUCAAAAUAGGCACAAUUCUAGUGAUUUUUGGAAAUUUCCAUUAUAUUGAAUAUUUUUACUACAUUAUACCAAAAAAAUAUUUUCAGUAGUAUUUUUAAUACGUUUGUAUUAAAAUUCAUUUAAUACUUCCCUGUAUUGUUUAAAAAUUUCUUUGCAAAGAAAGAAAAAUCCCCAGAAAUUUGUGAUGGCAAUUUAAUACCUAGUCAUAACAUACCAUAACAAUUAACAUAAACAUGGCAAUCCUUAAAAAGUGAUGACUGUGAUGAGUCAAUUCAGGAUGACCACACUCUCCUCAACUCAAGAGUUUCAAGUGUCAAGAGAAGGACAUAAAUAAAAGAUAAUAGUUGUGCGGUUUUCUUUGACAAUCCAUUAGCCCAACUAAUAAGAAAAUCACGUUUGUCUUAUCUAUUUCAAGGAGAUGAAUAAAUAAACUUUUAAUAAGUAUUAUGAUCUCCAUCCAUGUCCUAGUUACCGAUUCCCGCUAUUCCCUAAAAUAAAAUGUUUCAUCAUAAUGACUACCUUUGUAAAAAUCACUUAGCUCUUUAUUUAUAAAUUAAUUUUAAAUUAUGGUUGUUCGGAAUAAUUACUUCAGCAUAAAAUUGUAAGGUCUUUUUGCGUUUUAACGAACCUGGAUAAGUCAAAAAUAGGGAAAUCCCCUGAAAAUUUUAUGAAAGCCCUAUGGUUACGAGUAUGCGCAGUAACGAAAAAUGUGUUACUGCGCAUAAUUAUACGUUAUUGCGCAUGCGCAUAAUCUAGUGAAAUUCUAGUGAUUUUUUUCAGUGAAAUCUAGUAACUUUUAUAAAUUUGACCUGGCAACACUGAUAUGGCUGCUGGAAGUAAAACAUAAAUGUUAUUCUAUAGGUUCUUAAUGUGUUUUAGAUGGUUUUAGAUCAUUUUUGUUGUGUUUCUUUGUAAUUUUGUGUUGUACAAAGAUUAAUUUAACAUUUUCUCUGGAAGUAUUAAUUUAGAAAGAUAAUAUGCUUCAUUGGUGUUGUGUUUUGAAGUGUGAAAUACAAAGUAAUCCUGAUAAAGUCAAGAUAAAGUUCACUUUUAAACUGAACUAAAUACGGUAUCAGCUGAGAGACAACAAUGGUUAAAUGCAAUACAAUGUAAGGUUUUACUAGCGAAAUGAAAAUUCUCCUGUCCUGUCUGCUGUAAUCAUUUUAUAUCUGGAAAACCAGCCGACUUAAUCGAUAAUAACAAUCCAGAUUGGGUUCCUUCAAUAAAUAUGGGCUAUAAACACAAUGAAAUAAGUUCCCCAAAAUCUAAAAUGAAGUGGUAUCAAAGGAGAAUUAAAAGAAAAAAUAUUCAUAUCGAAAUUAUUUAUAAGGCACUGGACUGUCUUAAAUUCUACAAAUACUAGAAUCAGCUGAGAGAAGUGGUGUACAAAAAAACUAGGAAGGGAAUGGAAUAUGUGGCUACGAAAGGCAAAAGAAAUGAAUACAAAGCAAAUGUGACACAUUUUUUUAAAAAUAUGUAGGAAUAUCAGUAAACUACAUUAAAAAUGUAUGAAAAGAUUUUGUGCAAUAAAAAUGUUUAUAUUUA
RNAcentral lists this long non-coding RNA (1600 nucleotides) under Diabrotica virgifera virgifera (western corn rootworm). RNAcentral describes it as "uncharacterized LOC126880245". Lineage: Eukaryota; Metazoa; Arthropoda; Insecta; Coleoptera; Chrysomelidae. The record is from RNAcentral.